RNAcentral lists this ribosomal RNA (496 nucleotides) under uncultured beta proteobacterium. RNAcentral's name for it is "bacterial SSU rRNA". It matches the Rfam family "Bacterial small subunit ribosomal RNA", at positions 1007 to 1505 of the family's 1533-position model. The record is from RNAcentral. Lineage: Bacteria; Pseudomonadati; Pseudomonadota; Betaproteobacteria.
GUCGCUUUUCCCGCAAGGGACACUAGUCGAGGUGCUGCAUGGCUGUCGUCAGCUCGUGUCGUGAGAUGUUGGGUUAAGUCCCGCAACGAGCGCAACCCUUGUCAUUAGUUGCUACAUUCAGUUGGGCACUCUAACGAGACUGCCGGUGACAAACCGGAGGAAGGUGGGGAUGACGUCAAGUCCUCAUGGCCCUUAUGGGUAGGGCUUCACACGUAAUACAAUGGCGCGUACAGAGGGUUGCCAAGCCGCGAGGUGGAGCCAAUCCCACAAAGCGCGUCGUAGUCCGGAUUGCAGUCUGCAACUCGACUGCAUGAAGUCGGAAUCGCUAGUAAUCGCGGAUCAGCAUGUCGCGGUGAAUACGUUCCCGGGUCUUGUACACACCGCCCGUCACACCAUGGGAGUGGGUUUCACCAGAAGCCGGUCGCCUAACCGCAAGGAGGGCGCCGACCACGGUGAGAUUCAUGACUGGGGUGAAGUCGUAACAAGGUAACCGUAA